UAGGGAAUCUUCCGCAAUGGACGAAAGUCUGACGGAGCGACGCCGCGUGAGCGAAGAAGGUCUUCGGAUCGUAAAGCUCUGUUGUUAGGGAAGAAGAAGUGCCGUUCGAACAGGGCGGCGCGGUGACGGUACCUAACGAGAAAGCCCCGGCUAACUACGUGCCAUCAGCCGCGGUAAUACGUAGGUGGCAAGCGUUGUCCGGAAUUAUUGGGCGUAAAGCGCGCGCAGGCGGUUCCUUAAGUCUGAUGUGAAAUCUCGCGGCUCAACCGCGAGCGGCCAUUGGAAACUGGGGAACUUGAGUGCAGGAGAGGGGAGCGGAAUUCCACGUGUAGCGGUGAAAUGCGUAGAGAUGUGGAGGAACACCAGUGGCGAAGGCGGCUCUCUGGCCUGUAACUGACGCUGAGGCGCGAAAGCGUGGGGAGCGAACAGG
RNAcentral lists this ribosomal RNA (430 nucleotides) under bacterium. RNAcentral describes it as "partial 16S ribosomal RNA". It matches the Rfam family "Bacterial small subunit ribosomal RNA", at positions 355 to 776 of the family's 1533-position model. The record is from RNAcentral.